RNAcentral lists this long non-coding RNA (360 nucleotides) under Panax ginseng (ginseng). RNAcentral's name for it is "long non-coding RNA (PGIN_LNC012061)". Lineage: Eukaryota; Viridiplantae; Streptophyta; Magnoliopsida; Apiales; Araliaceae. The record is from RNAcentral.
CUACUUGAGGGAACCCUAUUGAAGCCCAACAUGGUGACUCCUGGAUCUGAUUCUAAGAAGGUUGCACCUGAGGUGAUUGCCGAGUACACGGUUCGUGCCCUUCAACGUACAAUGCCUCCCGCCGUUCCUGCAGUGGUGUUUUUGUCUGGUGGGCAGAGUGAAGAGGAGGCUACAGUGAACCUCAAUGCCAUGAACAAGCUCCAGACAAAGAAACCAUGGAGUCUGUCUUUCUCAUUUGGGAGGGCUCUUCAGCAGAGCACCCUCAAGGCUUGGGCUGGGAAGCCAGAAAAUGUGAAUAAGGCUCAGGAUGCAUUCCUUACAAGGUGCAAGGCCAACUCAGAGGCAACUCUAGGGAAGUAU